This is a long non-coding RNA of Lynx canadensis (Canada lynx), 817 nucleotides long. RefSeq lists it as uncharacterized. The transcript is spliced from 3 exons. The record is from RefSeq and is a predicted model, not a curated record. Lineage: Eukaryota; Metazoa; Chordata; Mammalia; Carnivora; Felidae.
UCAGGGUCUUCAUCUCGGCCCUGGAAUUAUGGAUCAUGUCAGGACACAGAGAGAACCUGCCCUCAAGGAGCCCACAGCCCAGCGAGAAAGACAAGACCACGAACUCUGAGGCGGUGAAGCAGUUGCUGUGGUGUCAGAAGGCCGUGACGAGGACGAUUGGCUCCGUGUAAACAGUCAGAAGGAAAGUGGUUCGGGAGCUUGGAAGUGCAGAUGAAGGUCGUGGGCAGUGCGUGGUGAAAAGUCCUGUUUGGAAACCCAAGAAGAUCUGAGGCUACUGAGUUCUUACCAGUCAACGGCGAAGACAGCUUUUACCUCCACUCCCAGAUUAUCUUUCCCCCAAGACGUGCCCCCCCCACCCCCCGCCCCGGGUGCCUGUCCAGAAGCAGAUAGCACCUCGGGCAAUCUCUUCUCCCUGCACACAGGGACUUUGCUCUCUAGUCUUAUCACUCAGACCUCCAUCAGCUGUCCCGUCAGCCCACCAUGCAAGCUCCACUCUCCCCUCAGCUGAAGACAGAACUUUCUCUUCCUUGGUUUUCAGAGUGGGGGGCAUCCUGUCACUUCUAAGAGCAGAAAGGCCUAGAACUUAAGGGCUACAUGGAAACGCCUCACGGUGGAGCUUCUGGACGUUGGUCAGAAACCGUGCUCCUACUUUCCCGUUGUGUUUUCCCUUUAAUGUCUUACGAAAUGAAAUCAGGAAGAGGAGACAUCAGGUCAGCAGCAGGAAAGACGGGCCAGUUGGGUGCCAGGCAGGACAUGGUUAGGCCAUGGCUCCGCCUUAAAACUGAAUAGUAAAAGGACGCCUGGGUGGCUCAGUCGG